This 508-nucleotide ribosomal RNA is filed under the name Fusarium oxysporum. RNAcentral describes it as "eukaryotic LSU rRNA". The stretch from base 136 to 289 matches the Rfam family "5.8S ribosomal RNA". The record is from RNAcentral. Lineage: Eukaryota; Fungi; Ascomycota; Sordariomycetes; Hypocreales; Nectriaceae.
CCUCCCAACCCCUGUGACAUACCACUUGUUGCCUCGGCGGAUCAGCCCGCUCCCGGUAAAACGGGACGGCCCGCCAGAGGACCCCUAAACUCUGUUUCUAUAUGUAACUUCUGAGUAAAACCAUAAAUAAAUCAAAACUUUCAACAACGGAUCUCUUGGUUCUGGCAUCGAUGAAGAACGCAGCAAAAUGCGAUAAGUAAUGUGAAUUGCAGAAUUCAGUGAAUCAUCGAAUCUUUGAACGCACAUUGCGCCCGCCAGUAUUCUGGCGGGCAUGCCUGUUCGAGCGUCAUUUCAACCCUCAAGCACAGCUUGGUGUUGGGACUCGCGUUAAUUCGCGUUCCCCAAAUUGAUUGGCGGUCACGUCGAGCUUCCAUAGCGUAGUAGUAAAACCCUCGUUACUGGUAAUCGUCGCGGCCACGCCGUUAAACCCCAACUUCUGAAUGUUGACCUCGGAUCAGGUAGGAAUACCCGCUGAACUUAAGCAUAUCAAUAAGCGGGGGAAAAAGAA